Molecule: ribosomal RNA, 512 nt
Filed under: uncultured bacterium
Lineage: Bacteria
Description: bacterial SSU rRNA
Rfam family: Bacterial small subunit ribosomal RNA
Source: RNAcentral
AACGAAACGCUGGCGGCGCGUUUUUAAGCAUGCAAGUCGAGCGGUAAAGGUCCUUCGGACCCCACGAGCGGCGGACGGGUGAGUAACACGUGGAUAAUCUGCCUCUCAGUCCGGGAUAGCACAUGGAAACAUGUGAUAAUACCGGAUACGAUGUGCCUGUCACAUGGCGGGUGCAGGAAAAGGUCCUGCGGGAUCGCUGGGAGAUGAGUCCGCGGCCCAUUAGCUUGUUGGCGGGGUAAAGGCCCACCAAGGCGACGAUGGGUAGCCGGCCUGAGAGGGUGGACGGCCACAUUGGGGCUGAGACACGGCCCAGACUCCUACGGGAGGCAGCAGCUAAGAAUCUUCCACAAUGGACGAAAAGUCUGAUGGAGCGACGCCGCGUGAACGAUGAAAGGCCGUAAGGUUGUAAAAGUUCUUUUUGGAAGGAAGAAUAAGGCGGGCAGGGAAUGGCCUGCCGAUGACGUGAAUUCCAGAAUAAAAGCCCCGGCUAACUACGUGCCAGCCGCCGCAGU